UGAUAUACGCUCGUCUCAAAGGUUAAGCCAUGCAUGUCUAAGUACAAGCUUCCUAGAAAGUGAAACCGCAUAAGGCUCAGUAUAACAGCUAUAAUUUACAAGAUCCUCAUCCAAACAGUUACUUGGAUAACUGUGGAAAAGCCAGAGCUAAUACAUGCAUUAUGCCGGGACUGUUGGCCUCCGGGUCGGCGGAACUGGUGCACUUAUUAGUUAAACCAAUCGCCUCCGGGCGCUUUGAGUUGAAAUCUGGAUAAGGAUGCCGAUCGUACGGUCGCUUGCGACUGACGACAGAUCUUUCAAAUGUCUGCCCUAUCAACUAUUGAUGGUAGUGUAGAGGACUACCAUGGUUGCGACGGGUAACGGGGAAUCAGGGUUCGAUUCCGGAGAGGGAGCCUGAGAAAUGGCUACCACAUCCAAGGAAGGCAGCAGGCGCGUAAAUUACCCAAUCCCGGCACGGGGAGGUAGUGACGAGAAAUAACAAUAUGGACCUCUCUAACGAUGGUCCAUAAUUGGAAUGAGUUGAGCAUAAAUCCUUUUGCAAGGAUCAAGUGGAGGGCAAGUCUGGUGCCAGCAGCCGCGGUAAUUCCAGCUCCCACUAGCCGUAUAUUA
Molecule: ribosomal RNA, 609 nt
Filed under: Anopheles gambiae str. PEST
Lineage: Eukaryota; Metazoa; Arthropoda; Insecta; Diptera; Culicidae
Description: SSU rRNA
Rfam family: Eukaryotic small subunit ribosomal RNA
Source: RNAcentral